RNAcentral lists this ribosomal RNA (470 nucleotides) under uncultured bacterium. Its description in RNAcentral is "bacterial SSU rRNA". It matches the Rfam family "Bacterial small subunit ribosomal RNA", at positions 33 to 518 of the family's 1533-position model. The record is from RNAcentral.
ACGCUGGCGGCGCGCCUAACACAUGCAAGUCGAACGGACUUAGAGAGCUUGCUCUUUAAGUUAGUGGCGGACGGGUGAGUAACACGUGAGCAACCUGCCUUUCAGAGGGGGACAACAGUUGGAAACGACUGCUAAUACCGCAUAAGACCACGGGAUGGCAUCAUCCAGCGGUCAAAGAUUUAUCGCUGAAAGAUGGGCUCGCGUCCGAUUAGAUAGUUGGUGAGGUAACGGCCCACCAAGUCGACGAUCGGUAGCCGGACUGAGAGGUUGAACGGCCACAUUGGGACUGAGACACGGCCCAGACUCCUACGGGAGGCAGCAGUGGGGGAUAUUGGACAAUUGGGGGGCAACCCUGAUCCAGCGACGCCGCGUGAGGGAAGAAGGUUUUCGGAUUGUAAACCUCUGUUGACAGGGAAGAAAAUGACGGUACCUGUUUAGAAAGCCACGGCUAACUACGUGCCAGCCGCGGC